UACGGAGGGGCGAGCGUUGUUCGGAGUGACUGGGCGUAAAGAGCACGUAGGCGGUGUUGUAAGUCAUUAGUCAAGACUAGAGCUCAACUUUAGUAAGGCUAGUGAUACUAUAAUACUGAGAGUAUCAGAGAGGAUUGCAGAAUUCCUGGAUGUAGCGGUGAAAUGCGUAGAUAUCAGGAGGAAUACCGUUAGCGAAGGCGGCAAUCUGGGCGUG
RNAcentral lists this ribosomal RNA (214 nucleotides) under uncultured bacterium. Its description in RNAcentral is "partial 16S ribosomal RNA". It matches the Rfam family "Bacterial small subunit ribosomal RNA", at positions 524 to 737 of the family's 1533-position model. The record is from RNAcentral.